Long non-coding RNA from Cercocebus atys (sooty mangabey), 903 nucleotides. RefSeq lists it as uncharacterized. The transcript is spliced from 2 exons. NCBI's taxonomy places the organism in Eukaryota, Metazoa, Chordata, Mammalia, Primates, Cercopithecidae. The record is from RefSeq and is a predicted model, not a curated record.
UGCUUUGCAAAUAUUGUAGAAUUAGUGACAUGAAAGUAUGUAUUAGUAUCUUCAGAUGUAAAGGGAAUUUUUAUGUGGAAGAGCAAGAACUAAAAAGAGAGAUUAUUAUCUUGGCCAAACAGGCAAUGAUGAUGAAGAAUCCAUGUCUGUACUGAGGAAAACUGGAGGGCUGUGCCUGAAUUAGGAUCCAUGAAAACAUUAAUGAUUGAAUUACAAGAUGGAACCAAGCACCAGCUAGUAAAGGACCCUGCUAUUGCUGAUGAUACUGGGCAGGGGUCUGGCAGGUGUGUCACCAAUCCCAGACGUGUGUGUGUGUGUGUGUGUGUGUGUGUGUGUGUGUGGUGUGUGAAUAUCAAUUCUUUCCGCCUUUCAGGACUUAGGAAUAUUUUCAGAAAUCCCAUCUCAAAAAGUCAAGUGCCUCUCAGGAUUGGAAUUGUAAAAACUUCUUACUCUCUUUUUCUCUUCAUUUGAAAGCUCAGGUGGUUUCACUGCAUGAACAUAGAUGUUAGGAAGUACUAGACAGUUAAAAUGAGAGAAUCUUAUAACCAGCUUGCUUUUUCUUUGUAAAGCCAUUAAAACAUUUUUGUAGAAUGUAUAAAUGCUGCCACGUUAUGCACAGAAAACUUGUAUCUUGUCUACUUGACAAGUAUAGGAACAUUGCAGUAGAUGUUAGGGGUUGGCUAUCUUUUUAUGAACCUUCCAUCUUUCAUAUCUUAAUUAAAAAAGCAGCAACACCUUAGCAGAGACUAUUGUUUGAGCUCCUUUUUGUACAGAGGACUUUUUAAUUUGAAGAUUCUAAAGUUGCCAAAAUUGAUUCUUUUUAAAAAUUAAAUUAGUUCUUUGGUUAGUUGAGGUUGUCAGCUCAUUGUAUGCACCAGAAAAUAAAAAAUAAAAAAAAAAAAA